This 493-nucleotide ribosomal RNA is filed under the name uncultured bacterium. RNAcentral's name for it is "partial 16S ribosomal RNA". It matches the Rfam family "Bacterial small subunit ribosomal RNA", at positions 29 to 507 of the family's 1533-position model. The record is from RNAcentral.
ACGAACGCUGGAGGCGUGCUUAACACAUGCAAGUCGAACGGUGAAGCGCCUUCCUUUUUGGUGGGUGUGGAUGAGUGGCGAACGGGUGAGUAACACGUGAGUAACCUGCCCCCUUCUUCUGGAUAACCGCAUGAAAGUGUGGCUAAUACGGGAUAUUCUGGGUCUGUCGCAUGAUGGGUCUGGGAAAGAUAUUGUUUCGGUGGGGGAUGGGCUCGCGGCCUAUCAGCUUGUUGGUGGGGUGAUGGCCUACCAAGGCGGUGACGGGUAGCCGGCCUGAGAGGGUGGACGGUCACACUGGGACUGAGACACGGCCCAGACUCCUACGGGAGGCAGCAGUGGGGAAUAUUGCACAAUGGGCGCAAGCCUGAUGCAGCGACGCCGCGUGAGGGAUGGAGGCCUUCGGGUUGUGAACCUCUUUCGCCAGUGAAGCAGGCCUGCCUCGUUUGUGGGUGGGUUGACGGUAGCUGGAUAAGAAGCGCCGGCUAACUACGUG